Molecule: ribosomal RNA, 559 nt
Filed under: uncultured bacterium
Lineage: Bacteria
Description: bacterial SSU rRNA
Rfam family: Bacterial small subunit ribosomal RNA
Source: RNAcentral
CGGAAUCUGCCUAUUUGUGGGGGAUAACGUAGGGAAACUUACGCUAAUACCGCAUACGACCUACGGGUGAAAGCGGAGGACCUUCGGGCUUCGCGCAGAUAGAUGAGCCGAUGUCGGAUUAGCUAGUUGGCGGGGUAAAGGCCCACCAAGGCGACGAUCCGUAGCUGGUCUGAGAGGAUGAUCAGCCACACUGGAACUGAGACACGGUCCAGACUCCUACGGGAGGCAGCAGUGGGGAAUAUUGGACAAUGGGCGCAAGCCUGAUCCAGCCAUGCCGCGUGGGUGAAGAAGGCCCUCGGGUUGUAAAGCCCUUUUGUUGGGAAAGAAAAGCAGUCGGUUAAUACCCGAUUGUUCUGACGGUACCCAAAGAAUAAGCACCGGCUAACUUCGUGCCAGCAGCCGCGGUAAUACGAAGGGUGCAAGCGUUACUCGGAAUUACUGGGCGUAAAGCGUGCGUAGGUGGUUUGUUAAGUCUGAUGUGAAAGCCCUGGGCUCAACCUGGGAAUUGCAUUGGAUACUGGCAGGCUAGAGUGCGGUAGAGGGUAGUGGAAUUCCCGGU